UAUUAGAAAUUUCAAAUAUUAAAACAAAAAAAAAAACAAAAAACAAAUUUAUCCUAAAGCGUAUUUCUUAGGUAUAAAUCAAAUGAGUAACAAACAAAUUUUUAUAUGUAUAUGGUAAAUGCGCCCCAAGUGCUUAAGCAACAACAAACACCCCAAAAACAAAGCAAAAACAAAACACAUAAAACAAACCUAAUGUUAAACAACAACAACCUCAACCAACAGCGAAUCGAGCAAUAUUAUCAAUAAUGAAUCAUUAAAUUGUUAAACGUUAAAGAUUAAAUGUAAUGUAAAACAAAACAACAAAUUAAAAAAUUUAAAAAAAAUCAACUAAACAAAACAGCAACAACGCUAGUAACCUGCCAACAAAAGACACCAACAACUCAUGCGGUGCCUGAAAAAGUACAUCAUCAUCGCCUUACAACAAUCACAACAACAACAACAACAACAAAAACAACAAGCAAGUGCCUCCGCCUCCCCAGAGGCCAGGGGACUAGGAAUAGGAAUAGGAUCAGAAACCGAAACAGAAAUCAGAAACCGACGACCAGGAACUGGUCCCCCCGAACACCCACACCCCCCAUCAUUCGUGGGCGGCAGCUAAAUCGCCCAGAUAUCUUGGAUUAAUCAUCACUUAGCUGACGCCGCCGCCGCCGCCACGCCCCAAAGCGGGUGUAUGGGGGAUGCGUUCUAUGUCAACAACAACAACAACAACAACAACAGCAGCAACACCUUUAACUUCACCAACGAUCACAGCAGGCUAUGGAUAUACAUAUGAAGAAACUAACUAAACCACGGUGAGUCAUCCAAGCGUUUGUGGAUUAUUAAAAGCAAAUUAGAUUAUAAAGAGUAAGUUGAUUCCUGGCUUUACGACUGUCUGUAUCUAUCUGUAACCGAUCUCUGGUCAGGCGAAAGUUAUGGCCCAGUUCUCGGCUCUCUUUGUGUGCCAUGGCGCUGUGCAGUUGAUAAACCACUUGAGUGGAAAUUUAUGACUAGUCGCAAGAAAAAGAAAAUUAAAAUUUUAACAACCUUAAAGCGUGUGAAAAGUCAGCCACACACACACACACUCUCAGAGAUAAAACAUUGUUGUGUGGGUGAGGAUAAAGAAGGGAAUUGUAAUGAAAAGUGCUGUGUGGAAAAAUUUUAUUAUAGAUUUCACUUUCACAACGAGCAAAAAACCUUUGCCGACAAAAGGCAGGACAGGAGCGCGUGCCAGGAAGGGAGGAGGAGGAGGAGGGGGGGGGCUGAUGGGCAGUCGGUGGGCGGUGGGGGCGAAAGGAAAGUAAAGUUUACGAGGCGUAUGCUUGAUGACGUUUAUGACAUUUCUCGACCCGCUCUAAAACCCUCAACCAUCCCCCGGCACACCGACAGGACAGCCCUCCAUCGUGGGAUGAUGCUUAUUAAAAAGGGUCAAAUCAUGAUGCUGACGAUGGAACAUUGGAAUGAAUGGUUGGUCGAGGGCAUUAAAUUGAGUUAUUGAUUCGAUUGGAAAUACUAUUACCACGGGUAUUCGAUUGCUCUUUGAACUUUGUAAAUAGUUAAUGUUGCAAAACAGAAAACAAUAUGCAUGGCAUGUGCAUGACGAGUCACAAGUAUUGGUUGUUUUGGUUUGUUUGCUGCUGGGGAACUGCUUGCAAAAAAAAAAACCUGUCCACUGCUCCAUGGGAGAGAAUUCUCGAAGCUGUAACACUUGAUAUUCCCAAGCUGACGCGCUCCAAGCUCCAACCUUUGACCUUUUGCAACAGGCUGUACACCCGAAAGCCAAACAAUUUUUCUGUUUCAGCUACCUUCCUCGUUUCUCGUUGCUCGCUCCUCGCUACUCCUACCGCCAUUCCCUUUCACCUUCUCCACUUGGCUAACUUCAUCCGCAACUCCUCUGCUCUCCUCCCUCCCCUUCGGGCUGCUCUCCUUCAUACUCGCACAUCGCACAUCGCACAUUGUCUUUGUCAUCGUUGUCAUACGCACAGAGCAGUGCAGAGCAGAGCAGAGCAGAGCAGACACUCAUACACUCGCACAAAUUUGACAGCCAUUGGGUUUCACUUUUUUCUCUCGUCUUCGUCUCCGCUGUCGCUGUCGCUGCCGCUGCCGCUGCCGUUGCUGCUGGCACGCGAUGCGUGUGCCACUUGUUUGUGGAGCCCAAGUAACCGUCGAUGGGUUGUUGUUGUUUUUGGUGUUGUUGGUGUUGUUGGUGUUGCCAGGCAUUGUCAUUAAUCAUUGCCAGUUAAACAAUAACAAGACAAAGCAACAACAACAAGAAGGUGUGUGCAAAGAGUCUUGAAAAUUGUUGGCAUUUCUUUCUGCCAGUGACCCAGAAACAUUUCUCCGCUGUCCUCCCUGCUGCCAUCGCGUCCCACUCCAUACUCCAUACUCCCUGCACUUGAGAGUGAUUAGAAUUUUUGCAAAUGGAGAGCAGAGCAGAGCAGCGAACAGGAUGGCGGGAAGGAGGCUCCCCACUUUAUUGAUUUGUCCGUGACUCAUUUGGGAGAUUUCGGUCGGUGGGCCUCGUGUGGGGGUGGUGUCCCCAUAUUAAUGAAAUGAAGCGAAAUCCGGAAUGAUUAGAGAACCUUGUGCAGUAGGUGGAAGAUACAGAUACUCGCAUCUGUAUCUGUAUCUGUAUCUGUUGGAUUGUUCGCAGAAAUAAUGUACGUGCUAAUGUUGGAUUUUCGGUGGAUUUUGAUUCCGCGAAACGUUUUCCGAAUUCUUGUGCAAAGAAUUCUUUUUUUCUUGUUUCUGUUGUCUUUUUCUUUUUUUGUAAAGACUUGGACGAGUACGUAUUGUGCUCCCACUGUUACAGUUUCAGAUCGAAUUGUUUUCAUUCCUAUAGAGAAUGAGUCUCUCUCGAAUAUGUAUGACUCUGGGUUUGAACUUUGAGUCACUUUAUUCGAUACAACAACCAUAAUCGUUAUGCUUAUUUCCUUACUGAUUAUCUUGUGAGUCACUUGAUGCAUUGGUUCUUCGCUCUUUCUGGCUUUCAGGCUUGACUUGAGUCAUAUUCUUUUGGCUCAGACAAACCCCAUAUUUUCUAUGAAUCAGAUACGACAAUAGGCAUUACGUUACAUAGCAUUCGAAUCGAGCGAAGAAAUCUUUAUCUUUACAUAUUACACUUAUUACAGUAGUACAUAAGAGAGGUAUUAAUAAAUCUUGCUAAAUGGAUCUAUUAAAUAUUUACGACAUUCCAAAAAUAAGCUCUGACGGGAACAGAAUUGAAAAUGAUGCUAUUUUGGAUGAGCCCAGCAAUCCGACAUCUAUGCCGCUUUAAUGCGUUCGAUCAUUACGAAUUCUGCCUUCAGUCCGAUUCGAAUCACUCCGAAUCGCUAAAAGCCGAGUGCCAGCACUGCGGAUUAAGAGCAUGGUUCGUUCGCAUGUCUCUGAAAUGACUCAAAGCACAAGACGGAGUUCGUGUGCCUUCGGCUAGGUAAACAUUCUCUUGCUAGUCUGAAGAGACCUGCUUCGUGCAGUCCGUUUUGGGAGACCGAUCCCUAGUUCGGAGGGGCCGAACGAAGCCAAUGCCGAGUGUCCCACCGAAUCGAUUCGGCUGCCCGAGCAAGCAAGGCUCUAAUCUGCAUCUAGGAAUCAUAGAUUCAAGACUCGAGCAUUCAAUUUAGAAAGCGUUCCAUCCACCUGUUGAAUCAUCCAGUGUUCCUAUGCUGCAAACUGCUUCGUUUAUUGUACGUUUGUUGCACUGCUUCGUCACAGCCAUAUUCAGAGCUCAAAAAGUAAGCCUUAAAUUCCAUAAAUAUGUGUAUAGUAUAUGGUGGAAAGCUCAAGCUCCUUUUGUGUUUAAGCACCCCUCAUUCAUAUGAUUCCUUCCACCAGCAUUUUUCUUUUGAUUUCAUGCACUCAUUUCGAAAUAUUUUAUCUUUAAUUUUCUAGGUAAAUUUUUCUACCUACAUCUGUGUAUCUGUUUGUUAUAGCUUUUACCUUUUUCUGCCCGCCUUUUCUUUAUUAUUAUGAAGCUUAUUUUAUUACACCCAGAGCUGUCUCUCGCUCGCACUUGCAUUCGCUUUCCAUCUCUGGCUCUGUCGGCCUGCUCUGCCCGAGUGCUGGCUCUCUUUCUGGCGGCAGCAGCGGCAGCGGCAGCAGCUGACAGACAUCGGCGUUAUGUGAAAAACCUGCCUCAAGGUUAUUGCCUUCUACCCGAAACCCAAACGAACGAAAGACGAACAAAAAAACAUGAAGAGAGUGUGCAAAAAAAAACAACAACAAACAAAUUUCUCCAUUACACGAUGAGGCUGGCUUUCUUAUUGUGUUUGUUGUUUGUGUAAUUGUUGCUGUUGAGGUUCUGCUCUUUGUUGCUGUUGUUGUUGCUUUCUGGUUGGAAUCGGCUCUCAUUUAGUGUCUGGCUGGCCUGCUGUGGCGGCGGCUCUCUCUCUUACACACACACAGUCCAGCAACGCCAAAUAAAACA
Molecule: unclassified non-coding RNA, 4402 nt
Filed under: Drosophila pseudoobscura pseudoobscura
Lineage: Eukaryota; Metazoa; Arthropoda; Insecta; Diptera; Drosophilidae
Description: GA21343
Source: RNAcentral